AAGCGACUGCAGUAAUGUGGCGCCGCCCCCUCUCCGUCCACGGCAAAAUGGCGACGGAGACCUGUGAUGCUGUGAACAUGGACCCCGACAUGGACCUGCUCAGCGACGAGGAACUAGAGAGGGAAGCCGAGGGCUUCAAGGAGCAAGGCAAUGCCUUCUACAUCAAAAAGGAUUAUGCUGAAGCCUACAACUAUUACACCAAGGCAAUAGACAUGUGUCCAAAGAAUGCGAGUUACUACGGAAACCGGGCUGCCACAUUAAUGAUGUUGUGCCGGUAUAGAGAGGCUUUAGAGGACUCCCAGCAAGCAGUGCGGCUAGAUAACUCCUUCAUGAAGGGCCAUCUGCGAGAGGGCAAGUGCCACCUGUCUCUUGGCAAUGCCAUGGCUGCCAGUCGCUGUUUCCAGAGGGUUCUGGAGCUGGAGCCCGAUAAUGGCCAGUGCCAGCAGGAGGUGAAGAUUGCAGAAUCCAUCCUUGAAUAUGAGAGAAUGGCAGAGAUUGGAUUUGAAAAGCGGGACUUCAGGAUGGUUGUCUUUUGCAUGGACCGUGCCUUGGAGACUGCCUCAGCCUGUCACAGGUUCAAGAUACUGAAGGCCGAGUGCUUAGCUCUGCUCGGCCGCUACCCAGAGGCUCAGUCUGUAGCCAGUGACAUUCUGCGAAUGGACUCCACUAAUGCGGAUGCCCUGUACGUCCGUGGUCUUUGUCUGUACUAUGAAGACUGCAUUGAGAAGGCCGUCCAGUUCUUUGUACAGGCUCUGCGUAUGGCUCCUGACCACGAUAAGGCCCGGCUCGCAUGCAGAGAUGCCAAAGCGCUAAAAGCCAAGAAGGAGGAAGGGAACAAGGCGUUCAAGGAGGGGAGCUUUGAGGCGGCCUAUGAGCUGUACUCUGCCGCACUCACGAUAGACCCCAACAACAUCAAGACUAAUGCCAAGUUGUACUGUAAUAGGGCCACUGUUGGAUCUAAGCUGAAGAAACUAGAUCAGGCCAUCGAAGACUGCACCAAGGCCAUUAAACUGGAUGAGACCUACAUCAAGGCCUAUUUACGGAGAGCCCAGUGCUACAUGGACACAGAGCAGUAUGAAGAGGCAGUGCGAGACUAUGAGAAAGUUUACCAGACAGAGAAAACAAAAGAACACAAGCACCUCCUGAAAAAUGCGCAGCUGGAGUUGAAGAAAAGCAAGCGAAAAGAUUACUACAAAGUGCUCGCGGUGGAUAAGAACGCCACGGAAGAAGAGAUCAAGAAAGCUUACCGCAAACGGGCCCUUUUACAUCACCCAGACCGCCAUAGCAGCGCAAGUCCUGAGGUGCAGAAAGAAGAGGAAAAGAAGUUCAAGGAGGUGGGCGAGGCUUUCAGCGUGCUUUCAGACCCGAAGAAGAAAUCUCGCUACGACAGCGGUCAGGAUCUGGAGGACGACGGCGGGAACAUGGGAGGUCAGAACCCGGGAAAGCCUUGGGGCGGGAGGUCUCAAGGGUGAACACAUUGACAUACAAGUCGUGCUUGAGCCAAUUUUGAUGCCAACAACAUUUUCAAGGCUUUUUUUGGAGGUCCAGGCGGUUUUAGUUUUGAAGCGUCUGGACCAGGAAAUUUCUUCUUCCAGUUCGGUUAAUUGGAGAAUUCGUCCACCUGAACAAAGCCCACAACAUGACUUUUCAACCCCCCAGACCAACCAGAUUCUUUUCUAUGCCACCUACUGAAAGAAUGCAACCCAAUGACCACAUGCAGCAAAUGAUAUAAUGCCCGUAUAGCAAGGAAGCCAUGAUGGCUCAGACCGAGUGGAUAGUGUUACUGGUUUUGGAUUUGGUUUUCUUCCUUCCAGAAUGAAACCAACUUGAAAGUCAGUAAUGGCUAAGAACACCGGUGCAAAUUAUUUCACAAUGUUUUGGAUUGUGCAGUUGUUGCAUCAGUGCUUUUAGGUAUCCAUGCAGGAUGUGACAUCCUGGGGAAACUCCUGGGAUUCAACAGAGCAUUGAACAAGCUAUCCAGCUCAUCCGAACUAAAUGCUGAGGGGCUUUGCUCUGCAUGAAAUUUAUUUGCCGAGCCAGCAGCACCUUCCCACUUUUGAAGAAUAUCAGUCAGACAGUCGGCUGACAUGAGUCCAUACUAAAAAAUGCUUGGUUUCAUAAGCCAAAAGCAUCACUUGAGCAUUUUUGAAUGAUACAAAGCAGCUGGAUCCUAGACCCACACGCAGAGUACAGCCGAAGCACACUUAAGAAAGAUGGCCGUGGAGACAGCCGCGCUGGCUUUGUUGCCGGCAAAGUCCCUCCCUCUUGUUGUCAAAGGUUUUGUGUUUGAUGUUGCCAUUCACAGAUUGCUGCAUUGUACAUUUUACUGGAAUGUAAAGUGUUGAUUUGUGAUGAUAUUUGAUAAUUUUUUUUCCUUUUUUAAAUUUUGCUAUGUAUAUUUAUUGUAAAUUUGCUGUCUGAUCGAACCGUCGGUGAAAGAUGAGGCCCCUAUUUCUGUUACGUAACAGUUUGCACCUAUCGCGAGCAUCACUUUGACGCAAAUUCAGGAAGAUGGUCUGCAUGAAAUGCACAGAAAACAUUACGCUCUUUGUGUUCCUUGACAGCAACCCAAGCUGUUCAUCCGUUUUUAUAUUCCUAUAUAUUAAUAUUACUCAAAGCAGCACCUUAAGCAUAGUAAUAGAUUAAUGGCGUGAUAUGCAGAAAGUGGGGCACGGUAUGACCUUGAAAGCUAUGAUGUUCAGUUGCUUCCUGAUGAGUGUGUUGUUCUUUUAGUGCACUUACUGAAGAAAAAGAAAAGCCUCCUCUUUGCUCUGAUUGUUUUUGCCCUUAUGGUGAAACCUUCCUCUCUUAAAAGUUAAAGCCAUUUCAAUAAAGUUGGCCUCUAGAUUUA
RNA transcript from Platichthys flesus (European flounder), 2851 nucleotides. It is a transcript of the gene named DnaJ (Hsp40) homolog, subfamily C, member 7, with no coding region annotated. The transcript is spliced from 14 exons. NCBI's taxonomy places the organism in Eukaryota, Metazoa, Chordata, Actinopteri, Pleuronectiformes, Pleuronectidae. The record is from RefSeq and is a predicted model, not a curated record.